Molecule: ribosomal RNA, 449 nt
Filed under: uncultured bacterium
Lineage: Bacteria
Description: bacterial SSU rRNA
Rfam family: Bacterial small subunit ribosomal RNA
Source: RNAcentral
UGCCAGACUCCUACGGGAGGCAGCAGUGGGGAAUAUUGCACAAUGGGGGAAACCCUGAUGCAGCGACGCCGCGUGAGCGAAGAAGUAUUUCGGUAUGUAAAGCUCUAUCAGCAGGGAAGAAAAAAUGACGGUACCUGACUAAGAAGCACCGGCUAAAUACGUGCCAGCAGCCGCGGUAAUACGUAUGGUGCAAGCGUUAUCCGGAUUUACUGGGUGUAAAGGGGGCGCAGACGGCGAUGCAAGCCAGGAGUGAAAGCCCGGGGCCCAACCCCAGGACUGCUCUUGGAACUGCGUGGCUGGAGUGCAGGAGGGGCAGGCGGAAUUCCUGGUGUAGCGGUGAAAUGCGUAGAUAUCAGGAGGAACACCGGUGGCGAAGGCGGCCUGCUGGACUGCAACUGACGUUGAGGCCCGAAAGCGUGGGGAGCAAACAGGAUUAGAUACCCCGGUAC